GGAUGUGGGGGCGAUCUGGCUGUGACAUGUCACACCGUUGACUGCCAGGGUUGAUGCAGCUGAUCUGGCUGGCUAGGCAGGUGUCCCCUUCCUCCCUCACGACUCCAUGUGCGUCCCUCCUAGAGCUGCGCUCUCAGUUGAAGAGGAUGGCUACCCUUGAUAGAGGAGGACCGUUUCCUCAGUCUAGGUUAUACAAGCACCUGUGCUCCCCUGCUAGAACCUCCAGAGACGCUCUCAAGGAGGCUGAAGCAGGAGGGUUAAAGUUUGACUUUGUCUCAGAAGGGCUGAGGAUACAGCUCAGU
Non-coding RNA from Fukomys damarensis (Damara mole-rat), 302 nucleotides. NCBI's taxonomy places the organism in Eukaryota, Metazoa, Chordata, Mammalia, Rodentia, Bathyergidae. The record is from Rfam.